This 1361-nucleotide ribosomal RNA is filed under the name uncultured bacterium. RNAcentral's name for it is "bacterial SSU rRNA". It matches the Rfam family "Bacterial small subunit ribosomal RNA", at positions 28 to 1381 of the family's 1533-position model. The record is from RNAcentral.
AUUGAACGCUGGCGGCAGGCCUAACACAUGCAAGUCGAGCGGUAGCACAGAGAGCUUGCUCUCGGGUGACGAGCGGCGGACGGGUGAGUAAUGUCUGGGAAACUGCCUGAUGGAGGGGGAUAACUACUGGAAACGGUAGCUAAUACCGCAUAACGUCGCAAGACCAAAGUGGGGGACCUUCGGGCCUCAUGCCAUCAGAUGUGCCCAGAUGGGAUUAGCUAGUAGGUGGGGUAAUGGCUCACCUAGGCGACGAUCCCUAGCUGGUCUGGGAGGAUGACCAGCCACACUGGAACUGAGACACGGUCCAGACUCCUACGGGAGGCAGCAGUGGGGAAUAUUGCACAAUGGGCGCAAGCCUGAUGCAGCCAUGCCGCGUGUGUGAAGAAGGCCUUCGGGUUGUAAAGCACUUUCAGCGGGGAGGAAGGCGAUAAGGUUAAUAACCUCAUCGAUUGACGUUACCCGCAGAAGAAGCACCGGCUAACUCCGUGCCAGCAGCCGCGGUAAUACGGAGGGUGCAAGCGUUAAUCGGAAUUACUGGGCGUAAAGCGCACGCAGGCGGUCUGUCAAGUCGGAUGUGAAAUCCCCGGGCUCAACCUGGGAACUGCAUUCGAAACUGGCAGGCUAGAGUCUUGUAGAGGGGGGUAGAAUUCCAGGUGUAGCGGUGAAAUGCGUAGAGAUCUGGAGGAAUACCGGUGGCGAAGGCGGCCCCCUGGACAAAGACUGACGCUCAGGUGCGAAAGCGUGGGGAGCAAACAGGAUUAGAUACCCUGGUAGUCCACGCCGUAAACGAUGUCGAUUUGGAGGUUGUGCCCUUGAGGCGUGGCUUCCGGAGCUAACGCGUUAAAUCGACCGCCUGGGGAGUACGGCCGCAAGGUUAAAACUCAAAUGAAUUGACGGGGGCCCGCACAAGCGGUGGAGCAUGUGGUUUAAUUCGAUGCAACGCGAAGAACCUUACCUGGUCUUGACAUCCACAGAACUUUCCAGAGAUGGAUUGGUGCCUUCGGGAACUGUGAGACAGGUGCUGCAUGGCUGUCGUCAGCUCGUGUUGUGAAAUGUUGGGUUAAGUCCCGCAACGAGCGCAACCCUUAUCCUUUGUUGCCAGCGGUCCGGCCGGGAACUCAAAGGAGACUGCCAGUGAUAAACUGGGGGAAGGUGGGGAUGACGUCAAGUCAUCAUGGCCCUUACGACCAGGGCUACACACGUGCUACAAUGGCAUAUACAAAGAGAAGCGACCUCGCGAGAGCAAGCGGACCUCAUAAAGUAUGUCGUAGUCCGGAUUGGAGUCUGCAACUCGACUCCAUGAAGUCGGAAUCGCUAGUAAUCGUAGAUCAGAAUGCUACGGUGAAUACGUUCCCGGGCCU